RNAcentral lists this long non-coding RNA (333 nucleotides) under Homo sapiens (human). RNAcentral describes it as "HSALNT0087305". The record is from RNAcentral. Lineage: Eukaryota; Metazoa; Chordata; Mammalia; Primates; Hominidae.
GGGACAUUACCGAGGAGGCAAGAUGCACAAGAGGCUAAUGCUCAUUUCCUGUGAAAGGAACCAAGGAUGUCAAUGUAAAUUGGAAAGGAUAGAAACUGGGCAGGCAUGUGGGGCUUUGGCUUACAUUUCAGGAACAUGUUGUGUCUAGUGAUUGCUCACAAUUGCGAAAAGAAAAAGCGAAGGAAAGGGGCUCCACUUGACAACAACUGCAUUUCAAUAAAUUCUACCCUUGAACCAAUGUCAGGAGGUUAUAUCUACUACAAAGAAUAUAAUCUGGGAAGGAGUUUCUGAGAACUACUAGGAAUCUAGGAAUUCAAACUGUGUGGUGUAAGU